CAGGGAAUCUUCGGCAAUGGGGGCAACCCUGACCGAGCAACGCCGCGUGAGUGAAGAAGGUUUUCGGAUCGUAAAGCUCUGUUGUAAGAGAAGAACGAGUGUGAGAGUGGAAAGUUCACACUGUGACGGUAACUUACCAGAAAGGGACGGCUAACUACGUGCCAGCAGCCGCGGUAAUACGUAGGUCCCGAGCGUUAUCCGGAUUUAUUGGGCGUAAAGCGAGCGCAGGCGGUUAGAUAAGUCUGAAGUUAAAGGCUGUGGCUUAACCAUAGUGCGCUUUGGAAACUGUUUAACUUGAGUGCAGAAGGGGAGAGUGGAAUUCCAGGUGUAGCGGUGAAAUGCGUAGAUAUAUGGAGGAACACCGGUGGCGAAAGCGGCUCUCUGGUCUGUAACUGACGCUGAGGCUCGAAAGCGUGGGGAGCAAACAGGAUUAGAUACCCUGGUAGUCCACGCCGUAAACGAUGAGUGCUAGGUGUUGGGUCCUUUCCGGGACUCAGUGCCGCAGCUAACGCAUUAAGCACUCCGCCUGGGGAGUACGACCGCAAGGUUG
RNAcentral lists this ribosomal RNA (550 nucleotides) under uncultured bacterium. Its description in RNAcentral is "bacterial SSU rRNA". It matches the Rfam family "Bacterial small subunit ribosomal RNA", at positions 355 to 896 of the family's 1533-position model. The record is from RNAcentral.